RNAcentral lists this ribosomal RNA (745 nucleotides) under Pseudonocardia sp. Its description in RNAcentral is "bacterial SSU rRNA". It matches the Rfam family "Bacterial small subunit ribosomal RNA", at positions 62 to 824 of the family's 1533-position model. Lineage: Bacteria; Bacillati; Actinomycetota; Actinomycetes; Pseudonocardiales; Pseudonocardiaceae. The record is from RNAcentral.
UCGAGCGGUAAGGCCCUUCGGGGUACACGAGCGGCGAACGGGUGAGUAACACGUGGGUGACCUGCCCUCAGCUCUGGGAUAAGCCUGGGAAACCGGGUCUAAUACCGGAUAGGACUGCAUGCUUCAUGGUGUGUGGUGGAAAGUUUUUCGGCUGGGGAUGGGCCCGCGGCCUAUCAGCUUGUUGGUGGGGUGAUGGCCUACCAAGGCGACGACGGGUAGCCGGCCUGAGAGGGCGACCGGCCACACUGGGACUGAGACACGGCCCAGACUCCUACGGGAGGCAGCAGUGGGGAAUAUUGCGCAAUGGGCGGAAGCCUGACGCAGCGACGCCGCGUGGGGGAUGACGGCCUUCGGGUUGUAAACCUCUUUCGCCAGGGACGAAGCGUGAGUGACGGUACCUGGAUAAGAAGCACCGGCCAACUACGUGCCAGCAGCCGCGGUAACACGUAGGGUGCGAGCGUUGUCCGGAAUUAUUGGGCGUAAAGAGCUCGUAGGCGGUGUGUCGCGUCGGCCGUGAAAACCUGGGGCUUAACUCUGGGCUUGCGGUCGAUACGGGCAUCACUGGAGUUCGGCAGGGGAGACUGGAAUUCCUGGUGUAGCGGUGAAAUGCGCAGAUAUCAGGAGGAACACCGGUGGCGAAGGCGGGUCUCUGGGCCGAUACUGACGCUGAGGAGCGAAAGCGUGGGGAGCGAACAGGAUUAGAUACCCUGGUAGUCCACGCCGUAAACGUUGGGCGCUAGGUGUG